UGAAUGAGAUGGUUCCUGCUGAAGAC
Molecule: non-coding RNA, 26 nt
Filed under: Homo sapiens (human)
Lineage: Eukaryota; Metazoa; Chordata; Mammalia; Primates; Hominidae
Source: RNAcentral